Molecule: ribosomal RNA, 441 nt
Filed under: uncultured bacterium
Lineage: Bacteria
Description: partial 16S ribosomal RNA
Rfam family: Bacterial small subunit ribosomal RNA
Source: RNAcentral
CCUACGGGAGGCAGCAGUGGGGGAUAUUGCACAAUGGGGGAAACCCUGAUGCAGCGACGCCGCGUGGGUGAAGAAGUAUUUCGGUAUGUAAAGCCCUAUCAGCAGGGAAGAAAGAAGACGGUACCUGACUAAGAAGCCCCGGCUAACUACGUGCCAGCAGCCGCGGUAAUACGUAGGGGGCGAGCGUUAUCCGGAUUCACUGGGUGUAAAGGGAGCGUAGACGGCCGUGCAAGCCAGGAGUGAAAGCCCGGGGCCCAACCCCGGGACUGCUCUUGGAACUGUGCGGCUGGAGUGCGGGAGGGGCAGGCGGAAUUCCUGGUGUAGCGGUGAAAUGCGUAGAUAUCAGGAGGAACACCGGCGGCGAACGCGGCCUGCUGGACCGCGACUGACGUUGAGGCUCGAAAGCGUGGGGAGCGAACAGGAUUAGAUACCCGGGUAGUC